GAUGAACGCUGGCGGCGUGCCUAAUACAUGCAAGUCGAGCGAACAGACGAGGAGCUUGCUCCUCUGACGUUAGCGGCGGACGGGUGAGUAACACGUGGAUAACCUACCUAUAAGACUGGGAUAACUUCGUGAAACCGGAGCUAAUACCGGAUAAUAUAUUGAACCGCAUGGUUCAAUAGUGAAAGACGGUUUUGCUGUCACUUAUAGAUGAAUCCGCGCCGCAUUAGCUAGUUGGUAAGGUAACGGCUUACCAAGGCAACGAUGCGUAGCCGACCUGAGAGGGUGAUCGGCCACACUGGAACUGAGACACGGUCCAGACUCCUACGGGAGGCAGCAGUAGGGAAUCUUCCGCAAUGGGCGAAAGCCUGACGGAGCAACGCCGCGUGAGUGAUGAAGGUCUUCGGAUCGUAAAACUCUGUUAUUAGGGAAGAACAAAUGUGUAAGUAACUAUGCACGUCUUGACGGUACCUAAUCAGAAAGCCACGGCUAACUACGUG
This 497-nucleotide ribosomal RNA is filed under the name uncultured bacterium. RNAcentral describes it as "partial 16S ribosomal RNA". It matches the Rfam family "Bacterial small subunit ribosomal RNA", at positions 28 to 507 of the family's 1533-position model. The record is from RNAcentral.